CUAUAAGAUGUGUGGACUUCAACUCCCAGAAUUCCCCAGCGAGCAUGCUAGAACUUUCUAGGAUACAAUUGUACUAGGUAAUACAACUGCCUAUAUUGAAAAAUUAUCAAUUAUUUGUCUAUAUUUUAGGCAAACUAAGAUUGAAAUGUCCUUUUAGGGUUUUGUUCAUGCUAAGUUUCUGUGCCAUUUCAAAAUAGCUAUGCUUUUCAUUGUAUUUAUACUCAACCAAAUAAGGAGUCCAUCCAUCAUUUCCUAUUAUAUUGUUAUUGUUUUUCCAGGAAAUACCGCAGUUUGGAGGUCUACUUCCAGAUACUUGCAGCAUUAAAAUGGCUUCUGCUGUAAUUAGUUCAGUCCCUACUACUGCAUCUAGAUUUGCUCUAUUGCAAGUUGAUAGUGGCAGUGGCUCUGAUUCAGAAUCUGGAAAGGGAAGAAGUAGUCAGAGUGGUGGAAAGACCCAAACUACAGGCAACAAGUCAACCACAAAUGAAAAGAAAAAGGAAAAGAGGAGGAAAAAGAAGGAGCAGCAGCAGAGUGAAGCAAAUGAGCUCAGAAAUCUUGCUUUUAAAAAACUUCCUCCAAAAGCCUCCCAUGGAACCUGCUUAUCUCUGCAGGAGCAAGCUUUCAGCCACACACACAGGAAAGACUCCCAGGAAGAGAAUUGGCAACAGUGGAGACAAAGAGAUGAGCAGCUGACCUCUGAAAUGUUUGAAGCAGACCUUGAAAAAGCUUUACUUUUAAGCAAACUGGAAUAUGAAGAACACAGAAAGGAAUAUGAACAUGUUGAAAAUGCGUCUCUUCCAUCAAAGGUUAUACACAAAAGAGAGAAACGAAAAAAUCAGCAGGGAAAAGACAAACCUCUCACAGUAUCUUUAAAAGAUUUUCAGUCUGAUAUUAACAUAGAUCAUUUUCCCAAAAAGCAAGAGGAAUUGAACUCACCACAUACUCUCUUGAAUGACGGUGAAUUCUUCAAUAGACUGGAAGAUGAUAUGCAUAAAAUACUAAAUAAAGAAAAAAGAAGGGAGCCUAACACAGAAUAUGGAAUAGAUAACAGUACAUUUUGUGACCGCACACAGGAGGUUUUUCUAAAAGAUGGAAGACUAGAGAGAUCAAAAUUGGAACUUGAAAAGAAAGAUGCAGAAAUCCAGCAAUUGAAGAGUGUAAUCAGUCAGUGGGAGGCAAAAUACAAGGAAGUAAAAGCACGAAAUGCACAACUAUUGAAAAUGCUGCAAGAAGGUGAAAUGAAAGAUAAAGCUGAAAUACUCCUUCAGGUUGAUGAGUCUCAGAGUAUUAAGAAUGAGUUAACUUUACAGGUUGCUACUCUUCAUGCUGCAUUGGAACAAGAAAGAUCUAAAGUGAAAAUACUGCAAGCAGAAUUAACAAAAUACCAGGAGCUCAAGGCAGCACUCCCUCCUCCAACUUUUUCCCUCAACAACCUUGCAAGAUUGCUUGGACUGAUAAAGAGUGACUGGUCCAUAGUCAGCCAGUAAAUUCCAUGACUGGGGGAAAAUUUGAAGUAGAAACUCCCCAGUCCUAGUCCAACAUGUUAACCACCUUACCACACUGACUCUCCAAAUAAAAGGGUGGAAGAAAAGGGAAAAGAAACUCAGAAUCUGACCAGUGCAGAUGAUUUUCUUUGCACUAAAUUCAGAGCCAAAAAGAGGAAUAUUGAUCUUCAGGGUUUUGCAGAAAUGUAUAUUUGUAUUACUGCUUAACUAUGCAGGUUUUUUGGGGUGGGAGUAGUGAUUGAAAUUUAAUUGACUAACAGUUAAGUCAAUCUAUUGCUAUUCUGGUUUAAAGUUGGAAAUGAAAACAUUGAUGCUCUAACUUUGUGCUAACGCUGCAUCUAGUUUUUCAUCAGUCAAUAAAAUUUGUCAUUUUUAUGACUAGUGUGUAAUUUCAUUGAUAAAUAAACGAUAGUUAAUGGCUCUCCUUUCAUGAUAGUUUUUACCUUUUGAUACUUUCAUUAUUUUUAUCUUUUUUGUGAUUUUUUUUUUUUUUUUUACAGAUGGUCAUUCACAAAUAGUAAAUGUUUGGCUAGUCUAAGAGGGAAGAUAAAAGGAAGAAAGGAAUGUAGUGAUACUGUGAAAUAGCCCCUCCCCAAAGUCUCAGAACGUGAGGUUUGCAAAAAGAAUUCUGGUCAAUCAGCUUUGAAGGCAAAAUGAUAAACUCUUUAGCAUAACACAUAUAUUUUUCAGAUCUUAAUGUAAACAAGAUUCUAUAUAAUUUUCCUCAUCCUUUCACCAUUCAAUUAUGUAAUAGUUG
Non-coding RNA from Python bivittatus (Burmese python), 2262 nucleotides. Lineage: Eukaryota; Metazoa; Chordata; Lepidosauria; Squamata; Pythonidae. The record is from RefSeq and is a predicted model, not a curated record.